GACGAACGCUGGCGGCGUGCCUAACACAUGCAAGUCGAGCGGUAAGGCCCUUCGGGGUACGACGAGCGGCGAACGGGUGAGUAACACGUGGGUGACCUGCCCUCCACUCUGGGAUAAGCCCGGGAAACUGGGUCUAAUACCGGAUAUGACCUCUGGAUGCAUGUCUGGUGGUGGAAAGCCUGGGUUGUAUGACUCUGGCGGUGGGGGAUGGGCCCGCGGUCUAUCAGCUUGUUGGGGGGUGGAUGGCCUACCAAGGCGACGACGGAUAGCCGGCCUGAGAGGGUGAUCGGCCACACUGGGACUGAGACAGGGCCCAGACUCCUACGGGAGGCAGCAGUGGGGAAUCUUGCGCAAUGGGCGGAAGCCUGACGCAGCAACGCCGCGUGGGGA
RNAcentral lists this ribosomal RNA (390 nucleotides) under uncultured bacterium. Its description in RNAcentral is "bacterial SSU rRNA". It matches the Rfam family "Bacterial small subunit ribosomal RNA", at positions 28 to 407 of the family's 1533-position model. The record is from RNAcentral.